GCAAGUUGCAGAAAAUGACACAAAAUCAUGACACUUUUAUAAAGCUCAAAUGAGUAAAUUAAACAAUAUUUUGUUUAGAGAUGCAUAUGAAAAAACAACCUAUUUUUAAAAAUCAAGGGGGAAUUCCCAUCGUGGCCCAGUGGUGAGGAACCCUACUAGUAUUCAUGAGGUCUUAGGUUCGAUCCCUGGCCCUGCUCAGUGGGUUAAGGAUCCGGUGUUGCUGUGAGUUGCAGUGUAGGUUGCAGAUGCAGUUCAGAUCUGAUGUUGCUGUGGCUGUGGUGCAGGCUGGCAGCUGCAGCUCCGAUUCGACUCCUAGCCUGGGAACUUUCAAAUGCCGCAGGUGCGGCUCUAAAAAGCAAAAAAGCAAAAAAGCAAAAAAAAAAAAAAAAAAAUCAAGAAAAUGAUCAAUAUCAACUUCAAGAUAGCAUUACCUCUGGUGAGUAGGUAGGAUAAAAUAGAAAAAAGGCAUACAGGUGAAUGUAUCAAUAGGCAAUUUUCUAGUUCUCAAGUUGGAUGGUUUGUUUCCAGUUGUUUAUUUUAAUGUUGCAUUUAUUAUUUUGAUGUAUCAAAUAAUGCUCGGUAUAUGAUUAAAAAGUGGCCUGUAGUUUCUUCCUUUCACCACUACAUGGCAGGCAAGUCCUUCAGUAAAGUAACUCUUGACUGGGAAAGGAAAAUGGAACUGUACCUAAUGGCUGUGUUCUAGUAGCGUUCAGUUUCCCCUACAGGAGCAUAUGUAAAACAGGGCUUUUUGUUCUGAGUGUUUACAUGCAUAACCAGGGCAGUUCAGGGGCACCUUACUCUGACGUGGAUCUUGCAGCCCUGUGGCCAGGUUUGGUUUUUUUUUUUCCCUUUCUUUUUGCCUAUGUAACCAUCUUUGCAAACUUAAAAGUAUAUCUGCUUAAAUGCUGAUUUUUAUUUCUCAGAACUUUUCAAUUAUUUUCCAAGGUGUUCAUUCCUAAAAUAACAACAUGGAACAUGCGGUUGGUUAUUUGGCUUCUUUCUUGGCAAUGGACACAUCUAAAUUCUCCUUCUAAUGUGUAUUGACUACUGGCUGUUUUUGCUGUUUGUUAGUGUUUUUUUGGCUAUGCCCAAGGCAUGUGGAAGUUCCUGGGCCAGGGAUCGAAUCUGUGCCACAGCAGCGACCCAAGCCACUGCAGUGACAAUGCCAGAUGAUUAGGGACUGUUUUGUACCAUUAGCAUUAUAACCACUGUAUAAUGAAUUCUGGCUGGCACUGUUACAUACAGGAAUAUUUUAAAUUUGGUAGCAAUGAUAAAAUAGCAAUACCAUAGUCACAAUCAUCAUUACAAUCACUCACAGGAAUUCUGGUGCCAAAUUUCACCAGUCACAGGAAGGGACUGACAAACAUUGGUAGGUAUUUCUGUUUCAGCAGCAUAUGUUAUGUCACCAAGUGGCAAUAGCACAAACCUUUCUCCAGCCACCCACUUCCAUUUUCAUGCUCUAGACCUGCCCUGUCCACUCCAUCAGCCAUUAGCCACAUGCAGCAACUGAGUACUUGGAACUAGAUAUUUCCUAAACUAUACACCAGAUUUUGAGGACUUAGUAUGAAGAGAAAAAGUAAAAUGUCUCGGUAAUUUUAAUAUUGAUUGCAUGUUGAGAUGAUAACAUUUUGGAUGUGUUAGGGUAAAUAAAAUAUAUUAAAAUUAAUCUCAGCUGGUUCUUCCUACCUUUUUAAUUGGCUACUAGCACAUUUAAAAUUACAUACGUGGAUCGCAUGUGUGUCUCACAUUUUAUUUCUAUUGGACAGUGCAGCUCUAGAGGUUAUCAACACUUGUGAUCCUCACCUACCAAAGUCGGCUUCAUUGGUGUGUGGCUGAUGCAGUCAACACAGGGAGCCCCCAUCUUCACAAGUGCUUCGCCUUUGAUUUAAUUCUCUGCUGUAACUGCCCUGAAAUCCUUAAUUGCUAUUUUUGAAUUUGCGUUUUAGAAGGAAAGCUCCCAGAACAAUGGAAUAUGCGCUGGGGGGGCUGAAAGCCUUGGUUCAUGCGUCUUCACGCCUUCAGUCAACUCCCGGUGUCCCUGCUCCUGCCCCGCGACUGCUGCCACCUUUGGUCUGCGUCACGGUUUUGGGCGCGGUUGUGGGAAAGGUCAGGGGUGUGAUGGUGGCUAUCCCGUCUCCGGGCUGACUGUGCAGGGUCUCUCGCCCACCUUGACCCAGGGGCGAGAGCGCCACCAACGCCGAGGUCGCAGAACCCUUGGGAGUCGCCUGUCUGCCCUGGUUUGGGGGGGUGGGAUCUGGGGAAGGAGAGACACCUGGCCUGACGUCGCUAGACUCCUCCCACCAGGGCGCGGCGCUGUGGUCAGCUGCAGACGGGGACCGGACCCUGCAGCCCGAAGGGCUGAGCUCACUCGCAGCCUCGGGAAGGGAUGCGCGCCAACGCGCAGCGGAAAGACGCUUGGCUAAAGCGCCUGAGAGCAUCGGGAGCGCGCCCUAGUCUGGCUCCAACCUUGAGGGAGAAUUGCGAGGACCGUUUCCUCCUUCCAGUCUUCUGUUUGUUUCUUCUGGACAGCUCAAGGCACCCCCUGGGGACAAAACGUAACUCACAAAUUGUGUAAUUUCUGUAAUUGAUUCCACGGGAGUCACUAUGACGAUUGAAAUACUGUGAUAUUUGCAUUUAGAACUGCCCUUGCACAAUAGAAAGAUGAAUGGUAAAAUUCACACUAAUAAUUACAACUUAAAAUUGUAAUUCACUUUACAUUUUUAAAUGAUUAAAAAAUUGAAGUUAAAUUGUGGCAAAAUAGACAAGGUAAAAUUUACCAUCUUAAUUAACCAUUUUAAUUGUAUAGCUCAGGAGUGUCAGGUAUUUACAUUGCUAUGCAGCCAAUCUCCAGAACUUUUCCAUCUUGCAAAACUAAAGCUCUACCUGUCAAACAUCAACUCUCCAUUUCUUACCCUGGCAACCACCAUUCUACUCUCUGUUUCUAUGACUUUGACUGAAAUCAUGGAGCCUUUGUCUUUUUACAACUGGCUAUUUCACUUAGCAUAAUGUCUUCAAGUUUCAUCUAUGUUGUAGUGUGUGUCAGAAUGUCCUUCCUUGUUAAGAUCGAAUAAUAUUCCACUGUAUGCAUAUUUUAUUUAUCCAUUCAUCCUUCAAUGGGCAUAUGGAUUGCUUCCACUUUUUGGCUACUGUGAAUAAUACUGCUAUUAAACUAUGUAUAAAUAUCUUUCCAUUUUUUUGCUAAAAUAAGACUGCAAUGGAUACCUUUGUACACAUAGCACUUUGCAUACCUGUAAAUGUAUCUGUAGGGUAAAUUCCUGAAAGUAAAAUUGUCGGGUCAAAGGAAACGUGUAAAUAUUGCCAAAUUGCUGUCCAUAGAUGUUGAACCAUUUUACACAGCCUCACAAACACUGUAUGUUUUCAGACUUUUGAUCUUUGACAAUAUGAUAGAUUAAAAGUGGUAUUUACAU
This 3428-nucleotide long non-coding RNA is filed under the name Sus scrofa (pig). RNAcentral describes it as "lncRNA (ENSSSCG00000053742.1)". Lineage: Eukaryota; Metazoa; Chordata; Mammalia; Artiodactyla; Suidae. The record is from RNAcentral.